AGUAGAGACGGCAUUUCACCAUGUUAGCCAGGAUGGUCUCGAUCUCCUGACUUCAUGAUCCGCCCACCUCGGCCUCCCAAAGUGCUGGGAUUACAGGGGCGAGCCACUGCGCCCAGCCUGAUCAUUUGUUUCUAACAAUCUGGGGGCUCGUCCGGAAUUCCCAUUCUCCUCUGAGAAAAGGGUCUCCAGUCACCAAUAGUGAGGAGAAGCAUCCCACUGCCUCAUUGAGGUGGCCUCAUGGUGAGGGAUCAGGACCCACCCAGUGUGAUGAAUAAACCCGGACUCUCAGCAGUCUGGAAAGGAACAGACCAACAACUUAAGAGAAAAGGAUCCUCACAUACCAUGGUGACCAGGACUAAAGGCCUCUUGGCACAUACACCACCCCUUGAAUUUCCAGUUCACCACCACCAGCCCGGACAGUGACCACAUUCUCAUCAAAGGUCAGAAAGAAAGGAAGCUCAAGCCCACCUGGGAGGGACAUUAUCUAGUGUUUCUAAUGACUGAGACAGCCGUCCACACCACUGAAAAAGAAUGGACUCACCAUACCUGAGUCAAAAGAGCACCACCCACUCCAGAAUCAUGGACAGCUAUUUCAGGGCCAAUUCCAACCAAGUUAAAGCUAAAACGGGUUUGAUCCUC
This 639-nucleotide long non-coding RNA is filed under the name Homo sapiens (human). RNAcentral's name for it is "HSALNT0382706". The record is from RNAcentral. Lineage: Eukaryota; Metazoa; Chordata; Mammalia; Primates; Hominidae.